UCUAUAAAAACCCGCUCUGAUACCAUUUUGACUCAGUGCCCAGGAAUGGGUGCCACAUCAAAAGAUACCUAUCAGCUUGCUAACCCUACCCGAUACAUGCCGCACUUCCAACCCCCGCAGAGGGGGAGCCCCGACCAGUUUAGUCAUUAGACUUUUUACGGCGCAACCCAUGUAUCAGAGUGGGGUUUUCCCUUACGGAGAGCUACGCUUCGUGACAGAUCACGCGGUAGAGGAUCAGGGAUAUUU
Molecule: long non-coding RNA, 246 nt
Filed under: Salvia miltiorrhiza (redroot sage)
Lineage: Eukaryota; Viridiplantae; Streptophyta; Magnoliopsida; Lamiales; Lamiaceae
Description: long non-coding RNA (SMIL_LNC004475)
Source: RNAcentral